UGCCAACAUAAAUUGUUGAAAAGUGAUAUUAUAAUAUAUGAUACUAAUAUUAAUUAUUUGGAAAAUAAAUAAUACGGAAUUCAUCGAGAAUCGAAUAAUUAAAGGAUUAGUGGACUAAAUUGGACGAAAGAAAAGUUAGAAGUUAGAGGUUGAGGAGGUGGCAAACUCAAGGACUAAAGGAGACUUUUGUCUCAUUUAUCUAAGUCACUUGCAUAUGAGUUUAAACUCAGCAAGCUUAUCAUUUUCAGCUCCCAAAUUUCGUACUCCAUCCUUUCUCCAUGGAAGAUCAUCAACCAAAUUUCAAAGGAGCAUAACUUCUUCGUUUCUCAACGAAAUUGGACGAUUCUUGUGGCCACGGAAUGAGAAGAAGGAGAGCUACUGAUCUAGCCCUAUUGUUCAAGGUGUUCUUGAGUUGAAUUGAAGCAAAGUUGAUGGUGAAUUUGAGCUUGAAGUGUUUGGCCAUGAUCAACAAUCCAAGGUGAGUGUUAUCGAAUUUGCGUAUACUCGACGAAGCGACUAUCGACAAGGCUUGAGGGGAACGGAUCGAGAUGUCUUCGUGUUUAUUUAAAGAUUAUGGAUAGCAAGUGGGAUAGCAUGAUAUGAUUUGAAGAGUCAAUCUUCCGAAGUUCUAAUUCUCGGAAGUGAUUUGUACAAGAAAAAAAAAAGAAUGUUUUCAUUCUAGCAGUCCGCAGUAGUCUAGAAUUUGUUAACUAUAAUUUUGUAUAACGCGUUUUAACUCUGAUAUUAUUUGUAAAUGGGGUCACAUGUAUUUUAAUAUAUGAAAUAUGUUUUAAUUUGCGAAAAAUUUACACAGGUUUUUAGGCUUGCUACGGGAUUUGGAGCUACCACUCCCAUUCCCUAGCGCCGGUCGCGGCUCGAGAAAUCGGGUCGUGACAAAGGUGGUAUCAAAGCAAUGGUUUAGUGUUCCUAGGCCAUUGUUCUUUUGUGAUCGAGGUAUCGCAACGAGUCAAUUACUUCCUAGGAACUACUGCGGAUUAUAGGGAUUUCCAGUCAUGUCUUUUGAACGUUAUCAUCUUUUUCAUCGAUUUUUCAAACGUUUUACAAAUACAACCCCUCAUAUAUGUGCUAUUAGGAGUCGAGUUAGGAGUGUGCAUGAGCAUAAAUUAUGUUUUGUGUUUACUCGAGUAAGCAAUACACUUUCGAGUAUUUAUAGUCUGCGAAGAGUUAUAUACUCUCGAGACUCAUAUGAUUAAGAAUAUCGUUAUGGACUAUGAUUGAAUUAAUUGAUUGGAUAGUAUAUGAAUGAUGAGAUAUGCGACGCGCUGCAAAACGCGAUCACUCAGAAGAGUGAUAUGCUCACAGGUAUGUACACCUGUGAUAACAUAUACGAUAUGUGAAAUGUGUGUUUGUGAUUGGUUGUUAUUUAUAGAACUUGCGAUUAUUGAUUAUAUGCUGCUUAAUUUUGCUAAGUCUAUAGCGAGCGGAAUGCUCGCGAGACUUAAAAUAUGCGAAUUAGCCGAAGAAAAUCUAGGUGACACUGAUUUUCUUGAGAUUUGAUCAGCAUAGGUUGUUUAUAGAUAUGCGUAGAGUAUGAAUAGAACAUGUUAUGACUAGUAUGUACUAUAUUUUAAGGAAUUCAUCGGGAUUCCUUUAUAUAUCCGCCAUACUAAGAACAAAGAGCUAUUCGAACGUGUGCCAUGGCACAGUAAGUGCAUAAGGCCCCGAGAUGGAGCCAGAAGUAACGAAAGAAAAUGUAAACCACUCCAUUUGGCCGGUAGAGGCCAGGGAUAAGACGGAGCUUAGAGGAACCUAGUAUUGACAAAGUGAGAAUGUACAGGCACCAGGAGUGCCGUAACAACCCAGCGAUGAUAGUAAUCAGUUAAUAAUAGGAGUAAUUGAUAUGCAGAGUUUUAUGCUAAUAAUAAGAUAGUGAUACAAGGACAAUAUCAAUAUGAAGAGGAAAGAUGCAAGGUAGAGAUCUGAUAUUGGCAUAAAUGAAGUUAAGAUUAAAGGAGUUUGGUGGAUUGAACGAUGUGUUAGAUUUUCUAGACGGAGCGGAGCUAAUUGCUCGUAAUCUUCAAGUGGACAAAGGAUAAACGGUAAAAUCAAUAGAGGUAUCGAUGAAAGGUUCAACCAAAGAUUGUGUUCGAUAAGUAAUUGGACCGAUAAAGGGUCAAACAAUAUGGAUGGAGUUAGUGACCCGAUUUAGGUAAUUCUUUUUACUGUUUGCUUUGAUUAAGGACAAGCAAGAAAAGCAAAUAUCGUUAACUCGAGGAGACAAUCUAGUCCAAAGAUAGGUUAUCGAGUUUGAUAGAUUAAGUGGAUUCGCUCACGACUUAAUGAUAGAUUAAGUGUGAGUCUAUACAAGAAUCGUGGAAGGAUUAGGACCACAAUCUAUGGAAAGACUGACACAGACUGAUAGAGAGAAGUUAUUCAGCUUGUCAACAAUGUUAGACAAUUAGAAAAUGCACUAGUCCAUUCUGAAGAAGGUCAAAUAAGAAGUAAAUAUAUGAAGUAUGAAUAUCACAUGUUUGGAUAAAUGAGUAAGAUGUUAAUGAUAAGCAUAACCCAAGAGUUAAUGCUAUAGUUAAUAGUAACCUAAAGGACGAAUUCGCCUUGUUGCGAAUAGUAAGGAUACAGUGAGAAGGGAAGCAAAGUCUAAAGAAGACUUAUGCAAAUAAGUUAUGAGAUGCCAAAGAGGAUUCUAGCAAGAUAGUGAUCAAUAUGAUGAUGAUAUCGUGAAGAUUAUAAAGGAUGUUAGUAAGUGCCAUAAGAAUUCGAAAACUUCUCUGCAUGAGUAAGAAGAUAGACAAGAGUAAAUGGAAGAGAGUUGAUUAACAGACCCGAGAGUCAAUAAUCAAGAUAAGUAAUAGGCAUGGAAGUAGAGACAUUGCCAAAGGCAACACAUGACAAGAAGAGUUGAAUGAAUUGAGAAACUCAUCGAGAAUGAGUAAACGAAGUGUAUCACAUAGACCAGAAGAUAUGAUGAAAGUUAAUACGAAGAAUAUAAUAGGAGAUGAUCGAGAAGAAUGAUAAAAGUGAAAAGACGGAAAGGCUAUGCAGCUAGCACUAUUAGCUCGUCGUUGGAACAAGGAAGUUCCAACUUUGCAAGUUCCAUACACUCGCAAUGACGGAUGUAUGUUGCCAGUAAGGAGAACAAAGUCAAUACACGAGGGAUGCAACAUCCCAUGUGAUAAGAUACAACAGGUGACACAAACCAACCAUCCCCUUAAAGACGGAGUUUGUCGCGGCAAUUUCUAGUUAGACACAACCAAUAGACCGUAUAGUAGAAGCGAAUGUCAUGAAGUCCAAACGCUAGAAGAUCAAUAGCGAUUAAACCUUUUGAGCUAGUCUAGUGUAAACAUGAACGCUUAGGACGUACUUUUCGAACGACGUCAAAAGCGGACAAGUAGAAAUACAUCUUUUUGUAUGCAAAAGAUGUACAUAGAUUGCGAACAAUAGUACGAUAAAUGAUAAGAACGAGUAGUUAUACAGAGUCUGAUGUCAAAGAAACUUACGUAAACCCCGUUUUAUGAAAAGAAAAGUAUUUGAUCGAAAUAAAAUAUUUUGAAAAGACAUAAUUGUGCCCGGACACGAAUCAUAAAAACAUCGCAUUGACACGAAUAGAAUUGCAUCACUACAUCCAUAUUGCAUUCACUACUAGGACAUGCAUCAUAUACAUUGUGUAUGUCUGGAAAUGAAAAAGAGGAGUGUCAUUGCAACUCUUGUGAUGAGAGAAGUCAUCACACCGGUGCACAAUUAUGACAUGAUUUGAGAAAUGAAAAGUAUCGUGGUUUUAAACGGAUGAGUUUUCAAACGUAAGUAAGCUCAGACAGGGACUCUGUAUAUAGAGGCAUAGGACAAGACUGAUCAUCUUGUUAGGCCUAUAUAAGAACGUAUUAGAACAGCAAAUAGUAUAACGCGAUAUGAAAUGUAUCGAAAUUUGAAUUGUAAAUCUUUAAAGCAGUCUCGUAUGUUGAAUACGAAGAUGUCGACGCUACUUUAUACGUUUGUAAAGUAAUAGCGACUGCGCUUAAAGUAAGAGCGAGAGUACCUCGAGAAUGGGGGAAUCGAACAUAGAAGUUAGUUACAAAAGAGACGUGAACCCACGUGCAAGAAGAUAUUAUUGUAGUCGAUCGAAGAAGAAGGGAUUGAUUCAUAAUGAUUAUGAAUCAAGCAGUAAUAAGAUGGUUAGGAUUGUUUGUAUAAGAAAUUACUCGAUAAGUAUAUCGAGGUACUUUCAUCUAAGGAUAGUAAUAGAUAAAAGACUGUAUAACCCUAACUGUAAAGUCAACAUUUAGUGAAUGAUUGAUCAUAGUAUAGCAGUGAAAGUGAGGAAGGAAGAGAAUGAUAAUUUAUGAAUAAGAAUUGGAUAAGUAGUAUAAAAAGAUUAUGAAAAUUCGAGGACGAAUUUUUAUAAGGGGGGAAGAUUGUAAUAACCUAAAUGUUUGUGGUGUUACGUGUAGUGCCACGAGGCAUAACCUUAAAGAUUAAGAACGAGAAUAUCGGAUUAGGGUUGGAUAAUAAGGACUUAGAUCGAAGCGGGUCUAUUGGAAUUAUCGUAGAAUAAUAAUUUAAAUGGAAAAUUAUUAUGCGAUAAAUUGGAUUUAAUCGAGACAAAAAAAAGGAGGAAUAAAAUAAAAUAAGUUGGAAAGUCAGAGCGAAUAAUAUUCACGCCAAGGUCCGUGAAAUAUUAUUAAUAAACGAUCGUCAAAAUUUCGCAAGUAUACGAAAUCGUUUUAGAAGAUAGUUUGACGAUUAGUUAAGAAUAAGGAUUAAAGUGCAAAUUAGCCACUUUAAGGACUAAAGUGGACUUUUAAUCACAAACUUCCGGAGUAAGUUGUGUUUUACUCUAUUUUCUCAAGAUAAGAAAAUAAUAUCGAUUAAGUGGUCAUCGAUGGUCAUUAAAGUGAAAUAUUGGACGAAAAAGUGCAAAUUAGCUCAAAAUGGAAAUAUGAGCGUUUUUUUACCAAAAUUGCCAACAUAAAUUGUUGAAAAGUGAUAUUAUAAUAUAUGAUACUAAUAUUAAUUAUUUGGAAAAUAAAUAAUACGGAAUUCAUCGAGAAUCGAAUAAUUAAAGGAUUAGUGGACUAAAUUGGACGAAAGAAAAGUUAGAAGUUAGAGGUUGAGGAGGUGGCAAACUCAAGGACUAAAGGAGACUUUUGUCUCAUUUAUCUAAGUCACUUGCAUAUGAGUUUAAACUCAGCAAGCUUAUCAUUUUCAGCUCCCAAAUUUCGUACUCCAUCCUUUCUCCAUGGAAGAUCAUCAACCAAAUUUCAAAGGAGCAUAACUUCUUCGUUUCUCAACGAAAUUGGACGAUUCUUGUGGCCACGGAAUGAGAAGAAGGAGAGCUACUGAUCUAGCCCUAUUGUUCAAGGUGUUCUUGAGUUGAAUUGAAGCAAAGUUGAUGGUGAAUUUGAGCUUGAAGUGUUUGGCCAUGAUCAACAAUCCAAGGGAUAGCAUGAUAUGAUUUGAAGAGUCAAUCUUCCGAAGUUCUAAUUCUCGGAAGUGAUUUGUACAAGAAAAAAAAAAGAAUGUUUUCAUUCUAGCAGUCCGCAGUAGUCUAGAAUUUGUUAACUAUAAUUUUGUAUAACGCGUUUUAACUCUGAUAUUAUUUGUAAAUGGGGUCACAUGUAUUUUAAUAUAUGAAAUAUGUUUUAA
This is a long non-coding RNA of Mercurialis annua (annual mercury), 5622 nucleotides long. RefSeq lists it as uncharacterized. The record is from RefSeq and is a predicted model, not a curated record. The transcript is spliced from 6 exons. NCBI's taxonomy places the organism in Eukaryota, Viridiplantae, Streptophyta, Magnoliopsida, Malpighiales, Euphorbiaceae.